UAGUCCACGCCGUAAACGAUGAUAACUAGUUGUUUGCAAUAGAUCGUAAGCGACAAAGCGAAAGCAUUAAGUUAUCCACCUGGGGAGUACGUUGGCAACAAUGAAACUCAAAGGAAUUGACGGGGGCCCGCACAAGCGGAGGAACAUGUGGUUUAAUUCGAUGAUACGCGAGGAACCUUACCUGGACUUAAAUGUAUAGUGACAGCUUUAGAGAUAGAGUUUUCUUCGGACACUUUACAAGGUGCUGCAUGGUUGUCGUCAGCUCGUGCCGUGAGGUGUCGGGUUAAGUCCCAUAACGAGCGCAACCCACGUUGUUAGUUACCAGCACAUAAUGGUGGGCACUCUAACAAGACUGCCGGUGUAAACCGCGAGGAAGGUGUGGAUGACGUCAAAUCAGCACGGCCCUUACGUCCAGGGCUACACACGUGUUACAAUGGUCGGUACAGAGGGCAGCUACUAUGUGAAUAGAUGCGAAUCUAUAAAGUAUAUCACAGUUCGGAUCGGAGUCUACAA
RNAcentral lists this ribosomal RNA (513 nucleotides) under uncultured bacterium. RNAcentral describes it as "bacterial SSU rRNA". It matches the Rfam family "Bacterial small subunit ribosomal RNA", at positions 791 to 1310 of the family's 1533-position model. The record is from RNAcentral.